CACCGCGGUCAUACGAGUGCGCCCAAGUGGACAGCCAACGGCGUAAAGUGUGGUUAGGGGCCCAACAAACAACUAAAGCAGAACCACCUCCCGGCCGUCAUACGCUUCUGACAGCGUGAAACCCUCCCACGAAAGUGGCUUUAACCUGCCCGAACCCACGAGAGCUAAGAAA
This 172-nucleotide ribosomal RNA is filed under the name Dasyscopelus asper (prickly lanternfish). Its description in RNAcentral is "partial 12S ribosomal RNA". The record is from RNAcentral. RNAcentral also lists the same sequence under 1 other name. Lineage: Eukaryota; Metazoa; Chordata; Actinopteri; Myctophiformes; Myctophidae.